Molecule: ribosomal RNA, 455 nt
Filed under: uncultured bacterium
Lineage: Bacteria
Description: bacterial SSU rRNA
Rfam family: Bacterial small subunit ribosomal RNA
Source: RNAcentral
UGCAAGUCGAACGGCAGCACGGGGGGAACCUGGUGGCGAGUGGCGAACGGGUGAGUAAAGCAUCGGAACGUGCCUGGAGUGGGGGAUAACGUAGCGAAAGUUACGCUAAUACCGCAUAUUCUGUGAGCAGGAAAGCAGGGGAUCGCAAGACCUUGCGCUCUGGGAGCGGCCGAUGUCGGAUUAGCUAGUUGGUGGGGUAAAGGCCUACCAAGGCGACGAUCCGUAGCGGGUCUGAGAGGAUGAUCCGCCACACUGGGACUGAGACACGGCCCAGACUCCUACGGGAGGCAGCAGUGGGGAAUUUUGGACAAUGGGGCGAAAGCCUGAUCCAGCCAUGCCGCGUGAGUGAAGAAGGCCUUCGGGUUGUAAAGCUCUUUCGGUGGGGAAGAAAUUGCAUGGGCUAAUACCCUGUGUAGAUGACGGUACCUGGAGAAGAAGCACCGGCUAACUACGUG